GACGAACGCUGGCGGCGUGCUUAACACAUGCAAGUCGAACGGAAAGGCCCUGCUUUUGUGUGGUGCUCGCGUGGCGAACGGGUGAGUAACACGUGAGUAACCUUCCCUUGACUUUGGGAUAACUUCAGGAAACUGGGGCUAAUACCGGAUAGGUGCUCCUGCUGCAUGGUGGGGUUUGGACAGUUUCGGCGGUUGGGGAUGGACUCGCGGCUUAUCAGCUUGUUGGUGGGGUAGUGGCUUACCAAGGCUUUGACGGGUAGCCGGCCUGAGAGGGUGACCGGCCACAUGGGGACUGAGAGACGGCCCAGACGCCUACGGGAGACAGCAGUGGGGAGUAUUGCACAAUGGGCGGAAGCCUGAGGCAGCAACGCCGCGUGCGGGAUGAAGGCCUUCGGGUGGUAAACCGCAUUAACCUGUGACGAAGCGUGAGUGACGGUAAUAGGUAAAGAAGCACCGGCUAACUACGUG
This 468-nucleotide ribosomal RNA is filed under the name uncultured bacterium. RNAcentral describes it as "partial 16S ribosomal RNA". It matches the Rfam family "Bacterial small subunit ribosomal RNA", at positions 28 to 507 of the family's 1533-position model. The record is from RNAcentral.